Lagenorhynchus albirostris (white-beaked dolphin) is the source of this 673-nucleotide long non-coding RNA. RefSeq lists it as uncharacterized. The record is from RefSeq and is a predicted model, not a curated record. The transcript is spliced from 2 exons. Lineage: Eukaryota; Metazoa; Chordata; Mammalia; Artiodactyla; Delphinidae.
CCAAGUCCGAGGGAGUUCUCCUGCCGGACGGCCCUCCAACUGGACCAUCGGGUCUUCCUGGUUCUACGGCAGCUUCUGCCCUUUGGGCUCCAACUGAGACAUCAGCUCUGCAGACUUUGGACUUCCCAGCCUCCUGCAUAAUCCUUUUCUCAAGACUGCCGAGCCGGAGCCCCGCGAGGCUGGAGCAUCCUGGGCAGGAGGUGGCGCCAGGCCAGAGACUGGCUCGCAAGUCAGAUGUCCUUCCCGCCCUUCAGCUCCCUCAUCUGCGAUUUGAGGAUCAGAGACAGCCCCAGACACGUGCAGGAGUUGCCCUCGGAACACACCCAGGACCCCGCGUUCGCAGAAGGUCUGCCCAUUGACUCCAGUCCUCAGUAGACCCGAGAGAACCUGCUUUCCAAGGGGCUCGUACCGACCUUCCCUCUCUCCACAUCCUCAGCGUUAUUCCCAAGUGUGAGACUGAAUGUCACGUCCGCUGGGCGUGAGAUGGCCUUUCCGUGUCAUCCAGUUGUACUUCCCUCAUGGUUGACACGGAUCGUUUCUCCAUCAGAUCAGGGGCCGUUCCUUUUUCCUCUUUUGUGAAACACUGUUUGUAUCUUUUCCUAUUUAAAAAUUCUUUUCCUAUUGAUUUGUAGGGACUCUUUAUAUAUUUGUACAUAGACUCUUCAUCCAUCGC